This 894-nucleotide ribosomal RNA is filed under the name uncultured bacterium. Its description in RNAcentral is "bacterial SSU rRNA". It matches the Rfam family "Bacterial small subunit ribosomal RNA", at positions 8 to 895 of the family's 1533-position model. The record is from RNAcentral.
AGAGUUUGAUCCUGGCUCAGAUUGAACGCUGGCGGAAUGCUUUACACAUGCAAGUCGAACGGCAGCACGGGUGCUUGCACCUGGUGGCGAGUGGCGAACGGGUGAGUAAUGCGUCGGAACGUACCGAGUAAUGGGGGAUAACGCGGCGAAAGUCGCGCUAAUACCGCAUACGCCCUGAGGGGGAAAGUGGGGGACCGCAAGGCCUCACGUUAUUCGAGCGGCCGACGUCUGAUUAGCUGGUUGGUGGGGUAAUGGCCUACCAAGGCGACGAUCAGUAGCGGGUCUGAGAGGAUGAUCCGCCACACUGGGACUGAGACACGGCCCAGACUCCUACGGGAGGCAGCAGUGGGGAAUUUUGGACAAUGGGGGCAACCCUGAUCCAGCCAUUCCGCGUGAGUGAAGAAGGCCUUCGGGUUGUAAAGCUCUUUCAGCCGGAACGAAUCGGUGCGCGCUAACAUCGCGUGCUAAUGACGGUACCGGCAGAAGAAGCACCGGCUAACUACGUGCCAGCAGCCGCGGUAAUACGUAGGGUGCGAGCGUUAAUCGGAAUUACUGGGCGUAAAGCGUGCGCAGGCGGAUUAUUGAGCAAGACGUGAAAGCCCCGGGCUUAACCUGGGAAUGGCGUUUUGAACUGGUAGUCUAGAGUGCGUCAGAGGGGGGUGGAAUUCCACGUGUAGCAGUGAAAUGCGUAGAGAUGUGGAGGAACACCAAUGGCGAAGGCAGCCCCCUGGGAUGACACUGACGCUCAUGUACGAAAGCGUGGGUAGCAAACAGGAUUAGAUACCCUGGUAGUCCACGCCCUAAACGAUGUCAACUGGUUGUUGGGGGAGUGAAAUCCCUUAGUAACGAAGCUAACGCGUGAAGUUGACCGCCUGGGGAGUACGGUCGCAGAUU